This 237-nucleotide non-coding RNA is filed under the name Syntrophothermus lipocalidus. The record is from RNAcentral. RNAcentral also lists the same sequence under 1 other name. Lineage: Bacteria; Bacillati; Bacillota; Clostridia; Eubacteriales; Syntrophomonadaceae.
CAAAAUACAAAGGCAUCGGGUAUCUUCGUUUCGGCUAGCAAGACGAAGCGAGGUUAAAAGGGAACCAGGUGAGAAUCCUGGACGGUCGCGCCACUGUGAGCGGGGAGCGACAUUCCCAGUAAGCCACUGUCCGAACAUGUAGCCGGUUGUGACGGAACCGGGUGCGUGCCGGAUGGGAAGGCGGGAAUGGAGCGAGGAUCCGCGAGUCAGGAAACCUGCCCGAGGCGGUGCGUCGUC